GACGAACGCUGGCGGCGUGCUUAACACAUGCAAGUCGAACGGAAAGGCCCUGCUUUUGUGGGGUGCUCGAGUGGCGAACGGGUGAGUAACACGUGAGUAACCUGCCCUUGACUUUGGGAUAACUUCAGGAGACUGGGGCUAAUACCGGAUAGGAGCUCCUGCUGCAUGGUGGGGGUUGGAAAGUUUCGGCGGUUGGGGAUGGACUCGCGGCUUAUCAGCUUGUUGGUGGGGUAGUGGCUUACCAAGGCUUUGACGGGUAGCCGGCCUGAGAGGGUGACCGGCCACAUUGGGACUGAGAUACGGCCCAGACUCCUACGGGAGGCAGCAGUGGGGAAUAUUGCACAAUGGGCGGAAGCCUGAUGCAGCAACGCCGCGUGCGGGAUGACGGCCUUCGGGUUGUAAACCGCUUUCGCCUGUGACGAAGCGUGAGUGACGGUAAUGGGUAAAGAAGCACCGGCUAACUACAUG
This 468-nucleotide ribosomal RNA is filed under the name uncultured bacterium. Its description in RNAcentral is "partial 16S ribosomal RNA". It matches the Rfam family "Bacterial small subunit ribosomal RNA", at positions 28 to 507 of the family's 1533-position model. The record is from RNAcentral.